UCUUUUGCGAGCUUUUCUUCUGUAGCCUUUGGGGUUUGGUGGGAAGCCAACUACAACUGGUUACAGCCUCUCCCAGACCAAGACUAAUGCUGGCAGUGUUUUCAAGCAGCUCUGCUACUGGUAUCUCCACAAGGGAUUCCUUUAACAGUAGAGACAAAAAGUACAGACGAAGUUGAAGAAGUCAAGCAAACAUUUUGCAAAACAAGUCAAAGAUCUUCUGAACUGAGCCAUGGCAAAGUCCUGUCCUUCGGGAGAGGGGGAGCUUGUUCUGCCUGCAGAUUAGCCGUAGGACAUUUAGUGGUGUGGCAUGGAAAGAGGUAUGUACAGAAGGACGUGCUGCUUCCAAAGCGGUGUGGAAAAGGAGAGUAAUAAAUGACAGUGAGUAGGAACUCACAGUAUAUAUAACAGAUAUUGCUUGUAUCACUUAACAUACCACUGGCAAAUGAGUAGAAUUUAGUGAUGGAAAGGUUAUAAAAACUAGACUAGAAAAACUCACCCAGGCCAGCACAAUAAGGAAGGGACACAUUCUUGACUGUUCCUUCAUCUACAGUGGAAAAGAACAAUCCACCUGCAAAAGCGAGUCCAGAGAAAGGCAGGCAGUACGCCCUUUUCCAGAAGAAAACUCACCAAAUGGUGAUGAGAAAAUUAAAUUUUCUGUCAAGGCAGAAUAUGUGAUAAUACAGUUGAAUGGACGUGUGGUGGUCUGUGUGGAACAGGGAACUGGUAUCAUCCUUUGUGUACUCCAGCAGCCAUUCAUCAUGAGAUAAUAAUUAGAAUUUAGAGAUGAUUAGGCCAGCUGAAAGCUUACCUUUGCACAGAUUGUUUUGCUGUUGUUUAUAUUUCCUGUACUUGUAUAUUUUAUGGCUUGGAUAAGUAAACAAUAAAAUCUGCCUUAACUCUAUUUUAUAACUUCUAGUAAUAAAUAAUAUUUUGGACAUAUUUUGGGAUCCUACUGGGUUACAAAUUAGCCUACCUGCUACUCUUCUAUAUCAGUAUUAAUGCCAUCUACUUUCCAUAGAGCAGUGCCAGAAGUUCUUGGAGGUCAUCUGCUCCGAUGCUAACUCAUUUUGGUUCCUGUCUUGUGUUGAAAGCUGGUGAAGAUGUUGUAUUUCAAGACAGGAGUAUGCCUUGAAGAAGAUAUUUCUGGCAACAUCAUCUACAAGCUAAUCAACAAAAAUCAAGUGCCUGCUACUAAAUUUGCAGGGUCUGCAGGAUUUUUUCCCUCUAAAUAUCCUGGCUCGAAGUUUUAAUGUAACUGCUUAUUAGUCAAAACAAUGAGAGGAGCUUUAAGGAACUGGAGGCAAUGCACAGAGGGCCCUGUUAGCACACUGACAGUUAAGUGAAGCCAUGUGAAAGGGGAACAUUUAAAAGACUGUACAGGACUCACACACCAAAAUGAAGUUGCCAUGGAUACAGGUGUUAUGUAUACAUAUCCAUCUUUAUCGAAAAACACUGUAGAGGCUGAACUUAAUCUAAGUGUAAGGCUUGGGUAAGAGAAAGGUUGUUGUGCAGAGCAGUGAGGAUGGAAGUAAAACAAUCUCUUCUUUGGUGAGAGGUAUUGAUGGACUAGAAACAAAAGCAAAACAAUAAAGCAGUUGAGCCAAGAUCAUGCACAAACAGAAGAGAAUACCUUCACCACAGAACCUGAAUGUGUACAAUAAAAUACCCCACGGAAGUCACAGGGGAAAAUAGAAAAGGGUGUUUCUUUGGCUCAUUGAAAUUAGGGUUAAAAAUCUUAGUAGCUUCACUGGAGCCAUAUGUUUUAUUCUUUUUUUUUUGUAAAUACUUUUAAUCACCUGAUUAAUGCCAGAAUUUUUCUUCCCUUCUUUUUCUUUUUUCUGAUUUCUUUUUCAUAAACAUAAUUGUCAUUGAAAUAGGUGGUUAUAGAGCUGUCCUUGUCUGCUGAUAGGAUCACAGAGGAGCUGAGGAGGUACCCCCUACUGGGGGUAGGUGCCAGUUUCCAGAAGAACAUUUUUUGCUCUGUAUUGACCCUGUGCUGAGUUGAGAAAUGUGUCUAGACCAGGUUCAUCAAUUUGGAGCAACUGUUUAGGAGGCCAUUGCUCCCAAAGAUACCUCCAGGUCUCAGGGACGUGACACUCCCAGGGAACCUCAGCGGACUCCAGCAGUCUCUCCUGCUCAACUUGCUGAGUGAAAAUGAGUGAACAGAGGUAGUGGAAACCAGAUGGUCAGAAACAUACUAAAGGCUCUCAUGAAGGGAAUUUAAUUGAGAGGGAAGGAUUUGUCACCUUUCACUUCUCCCUAUCAGGGCUUCUGAAAUCAAACAGAGUGAAAUUUGGCAGAGCUCAUCAUGGAUCUGAAGUCUAUUUCUACUAAAUAACUUAGUGAAUCAGUGACUAACAUUAGAACUAAAUCAGCAUGAGAUUACAAUGCAUGCAAAUUGCUGCCACUGCAAUGAUAUGUGCGAUUCAAACAGGUCUGCCACAGAGGCCUUCUGUCUAAGUAUCCUGAAAGAUAUUGCAUAUAUCCUUCUGGUUCGCUCCUUCAAGACCUGAAGAGACUACUGUGACCACAUUGUAUAGUAUAUUACAAAGAACGCUAUUAAAAAUUACUGAAGUCAGGCCUGGAUCAGUUGUGUCACCCACAUGUGAGCUCAGGCAUACUCUGAGAAGACCUUCAGUCUUGAAUCAAGAUGGAGGGUCUGUCCUAGAAAAGCUGUUUCAAACAUAAGUUGUUCUGACCCUGUGAAAUGUUUGUCUUACUUUUAUUCUAAGUGUUGGUAGAGAUUUUUCAGGCUGGAAGAACAUUUGCACUACAAGUCUUUAUUUCUCAGGUGAAACUGAGCUUUUCUAAAGUGGACAUAUAAUUUUGUGUCCUCUCCAUUGUCCCUGAGAUGUGCCAGUCAUACACAGUCCUGCACACUCUUUUGCUAAAUUAUAAGCUGACAGUAUGCACAGAAACAAUUGCAGCACUUAAGCUUUCUGUUGUCUGUUUAAACUUAUUUUAAAUGAUGA
Molecule: long non-coding RNA, 2972 nt
Organism: Pipra filicauda (Wire-tailed manakin)
Lineage: Eukaryota; Metazoa; Chordata; Aves; Passeriformes; Pipridae
Exons: 7
Source: RefSeq, a predicted model, not a curated record